RNAcentral lists this ribosomal RNA (368 nucleotides) under uncultured eukaryote. RNAcentral describes it as "partial 18S ribosomal RNA". It matches the Rfam family "Eukaryotic small subunit ribosomal RNA", at positions 592 to 976 of the family's 1831-position model. The record is from RNAcentral.
CAGUAGCGUAUAUUAUAGUUGUUGCAGUUAAAAUGCUCGUAGUUGAAGUUCGGAUGCAGCAGAGCUUGGAAACGCUGUUAUGGUGCUUCCGUUGCUUUUGCUUGUCCACAGUGCGUUGCAAGUACGUAUGUGCUUGUGCGUGCAUUUUACUUUGAGAAACAUAGGGUGUUCCACGCAUGUUACGGCAUGAAUAUUCCAGCAUGGGAUAAUCUGGUACGACUUCCAAUCUGCCAUUUUGGUUCGUAGGUUGGAAGUAAUGAUUAAUAGGGACUGUCGGGGGCAUUGGUAUUUGACUGUCAGAGGUGAAAUUCUGAGAUUCGUUGAGGACCAACCACUGCGAAAGCAUUUGUCAAGGAUGUCUCCAUUAA